GCAAGUCGAGCGCGAAAGUCUUCGGACGAGUAGAGCGGCGGACGGGUGAGUAACGCGUGGGAAUCUGCCUAGUAGUGGGGGACAACUUAUGGAAACGUAAGCUAAUACCGCAUACACCCUACGGGGAAAAGGGGGCUUCGGCUCUCGCUAUUAGAUGAGCCCGCGUUAGAUUAGCUAGUUGGUGGGGUAAAGGCUUACCAAGGCGACGAUCUAUAGCUGGUCUUAGAGGAUGAUC
This 235-nucleotide ribosomal RNA is filed under the name uncultured bacterium. RNAcentral describes it as "partial 16S ribosomal RNA". It matches the Rfam family "Bacterial small subunit ribosomal RNA", at positions 57 to 305 of the family's 1533-position model. The record is from RNAcentral.